AUCCAGUUGAUGAGUCUCAAAUAGGACGAAGCGCGCCUCGUGGAU
RNAcentral lists this non-coding RNA (45 nucleotides) under Schistosoma haematobium. Lineage: Eukaryota; Metazoa; Platyhelminthes; Trematoda; Strigeidida; Schistosomatidae. The record is from RNAcentral.